Non-coding RNA from Pan troglodytes (chimpanzee), 117 nucleotides. It matches the Rfam family "Metazoan signal recognition particle RNA". From Rfam's summary of the family: The signal recognition particle (SRP) is a universally conserved ribonucleoprotein. It is involved in the co-translational targeting of proteins to membranes. The record is from Rfam. Lineage: Eukaryota; Metazoa; Chordata; Mammalia; Primates; Hominidae.
GCCGGGCAUGGUGGCUCAUGCCUGUAAUCCGAGCACUUUGGGAGGCCGAGGUGGGUGGAUCACCUGAGGUCAGGAGUUCAAGACCAUCCUGGCCAACAUGGUGAGACCCCAUCUCUA